GAUGAACGCUGGCGGCGUGCCUAAUACAUGCAAGUCGAGCGAUCAGACGAGGAGCUUGCUCUUCUUACGUUAGUUGCGGACGGGUGAGUAACACGUGGAUAACCUACCUUUUAGACUGGGAUAACUUCUGGAAACCGUAGCUAAUACCGGAUAAUAUUUUGAACCACAUGUUUCAUUUUUGAAAGACGCUUUUGCUGUCCUUCAUAGUUGACUCGGCUCCUCAUUAGUAGUUUGGUAAGGUAAGGGCUUACCAAGGCAACGAUGAUUAGCCGACCUGAGAGGGUGAUCGGCAAAACUGGAACUGAAACACGGUCAAGACUCCUACGGGAGGAAGAAGUAGGGAAUCUUCGGAAAUGGGCGAAAGCCUGACGGAGAAAGGCCGCGGGAGGGAUGAAGGUCUUCGAAUCUAAAAACUCUGUUAUAAGGGAAGAACAAAUGGGUAAGGAAAAAUGCACGUCUUGACGGUACCUAAUCAGAAAGCCACGGCUAACUACGUG
RNAcentral lists this ribosomal RNA (497 nucleotides) under uncultured bacterium. Its description in RNAcentral is "partial 16S ribosomal RNA". It matches the Rfam family "Bacterial small subunit ribosomal RNA", at positions 28 to 507 of the family's 1533-position model. The record is from RNAcentral.